This 431-nucleotide ribosomal RNA is filed under the name uncultured bacterium. RNAcentral's name for it is "partial 16S ribosomal RNA". It matches the Rfam family "Bacterial small subunit ribosomal RNA", at positions 29 to 507 of the family's 1533-position model. The record is from RNAcentral.
AACGAACGCUGGCGGCAGGCUUAACACAUGCAAGUCGAGCGCCCCGCCAGGGGAGCGGCCGACGGGUGAGUAACGCGUGGGAACGUACCUUUUGGUUCGGAACAACUCCGGGAAACUGGAGCUAAUACCGGAUAAGCCCUAACGGGGAAAGAUUUAUCGCCGAAAGAUCGGCCCGCGUCUGAUUAGCUAGUUGGUGAGGUAACGGCUCACCAAGGCGACGAUCAGUAGCUGGUCUGAGAGGAUGAUCAGCCACACUGGGACUGAGACACGGCCCAGACUCCUACGGGAGGCAGCAGUGGGGAAUAUCGGACAAUGGGCGCAAGCCUGAUCCAGCCAUGCCGCGUGAGUGAUGAAGGCCUUAGGGUUGUAAAGCUCUUUUGUCCGGGAAGAUAAUGACUGUACCGGAAGAAUAAGCCCCGGCUAACUUCGUG